RNAcentral lists this ribosomal RNA (1468 nucleotides) under uncultured Flavobacterium sp. RNAcentral describes it as "bacterial SSU rRNA". It matches the Rfam family "Bacterial small subunit ribosomal RNA". Lineage: Bacteria; Pseudomonadati; Bacteroidota; Flavobacteriia; Flavobacteriales; Flavobacteriaceae. The record is from RNAcentral.
CAAGGUGCGAGUUUGAUCCUGGCUCAGGAUGAACGCUAGCGGCCUUAACACAUGCAAGUCGAGGGGUAUAGUUCUUCGGAACUAGAGACCGGCGCACGGGUGCGUAACGCGUAUGCAAUCUACCUUUCACAGAGGGAUAGCCCAGAGAAUUUGGAUUAAUACCUCAUAGUAUAAUUGAAUGGCAUCAUUUAAUUAUUAAAGUCACAACGGUGAAAGAUGAGCAUGCGUCCCAUUAGCUAGUUGGUAAGGUAACGGCUUACCAAGGCGACGAUGGGUAGGGGUCCUGAGAGGGAGAUCCCCCACACUGGUACUGAGACACGGACCAGACUCCUACGGGAGGCAGCAGUGAGGAAUAUUGGUCAAUGGGCGCAAGCCUGAACCAGCCAUGCCGCGUGCAGGAUGACGGUCCUAUGGAUUGUAAACUGCUUUUGUACAGGAAGAAACACUGGUUCGUGAACCAGCUUGACGGUACUGUAAGAAUAAGGAUCGGCUAACUCCGUGCCAGCAGCCGCGGUAAUACGGAGGAUCCAAGCGUUAUCCGGAAUCAUUGGGUUUAAGGUCCGUAGGCGGUCAGAUAAGUCAGUGGUGAGAGCCCAUCGCUCAACGGUGGAACGGCCAUUGAUACUGUCUGACUUGAAUUAUUAGGAAGUAGCUAGAAUAUGUAGUGUAGCGGUGAAAUGCUUAGAGAUUACAUGGAAUACCAAUUGCGAAGGCAGGUUACUACUAAUGGAUUGACGCUGAUGGACGAAGCGUGGGUAGCGAACAGGAUUAGAUACCCUGGUAGUCCACGCCGUAAACGAUGGAUACUAGCUGUUGGGGGCAAUCUCAGUGGCUAAGCGAAAGUGAUAAGUAUCCCACCUGGGGAGUACGUUCGCAAGAAUGAAACUCAAAGGAAUUGACGGGCCGCACAAGCGGUGGAGCAUGUGGUUUAAUUCGAUGAUACGCGAGGAACCUUACCAAGGCUUAAAUGUAGAUUGACCGGUUUGGAACAGAUCUUUCGCAAGACAAUUUACAAGGUGCUGCAUUCUUGUCGUCAGCUCGUGCCGUGAGGUGUCAGGUUAAGUCCUAUAACGAGCGCAACCCCUGUUGUUAGUUGCCAGCGCAUGUCGGGAACUCUAACGAGACUGCCAGUGCAAACUGUGAGGAAGGUGGGGAUGACGUCAAAUCAUCACGGCCCUUACCUUGGGCUACACACGUGCUACAAUGGCCGGUACAGAGAGCAGCCACUGGGCGACCAGGAGCGAAUCUAUAAAACCGGUCACAGUUCGGAUCGGAGUCUGCAACUCGACUCCGUGAAGCUGGAAUCGCUAGUAAUCGGAUAUCAGCCAUGAUCCGGUGAAUACGUUCCCGGGCCUUGUACACACCGCCCGUCAAGCCAUGGAAGCUGGGGUGCCUGAAGUCGGUGACCGCAAGGAGCUGCCUAGGGUAAAACUGGUAACUAGGGCUAAGUCGUAACAAGGUAACCUCC